GAUGAACGCUAGCGGCAGACUUAAUACAUGCAAGUCGAGGGGCAGCAAGAUACUUCGGUAUUGUUGGCGACCGGCGAAUGGGUGCGUAACGCGUAUGUAAUCUACCUUGUACAGGGGCAUAGCUCUCGGAAACGAGAAUUAAUUCCCUAUAUUAUCUUUUUAUCGCAUGGUAAUUGGAUGAAAGUUUUUCGGUACGAGACGGGCAUGCGUCCUAUUAGCUUGUUGGUGGGGUAAUGGCUUACCAAGGCGACGAUAGGUAGGGGGUCUGAGAGGAUGUCCCCCCACACUGGUACUGAGACACGGACCAGACUCCUACGGGAGGCAGCAGUAAGGAAUAUUGGGCAAUGGACGCAAGUCUGACCCAGUUAUGCCGCGUGCAGGAUGAAGGCCAUAGGUCGUAAACUGCUUUUAUGCAGGAAAAAUAAGCUUCUGCGGAAGCCGAUGAUGGUACUGUAUGAAUAAGCACCGGCUAACUCCGUGCCAGCCGCCGCCGUAAAAC
RNAcentral lists this ribosomal RNA (499 nucleotides) under uncultured bacterium. RNAcentral's name for it is "bacterial SSU rRNA". It matches the Rfam family "Bacterial small subunit ribosomal RNA", at positions 28 to 526 of the family's 1533-position model. The record is from RNAcentral.